AGUGAACGCUGGCGGUAGGCCUAACACAUGCAAGUCGAACGGCAGCACAGUAAGAGCUUGCUCUUACGGGUGGCGAGUGGCGGACGGGUGAGGAAUACAUCGGAAUCUACUUUUUCGUGGGGGAUAACGUAGGGAAACUUACGCUAAUACCGCAUACGACCUACGGGUGAAAGCAGGGGAUCUUCGGACCUUUCGCGAUUGAAUGAGCCGAUGUCGGAUUAGCUAGUUGGCGGGGUAAUGGCCCACCAAGGCGACGAUCCGUAGCUGGUCUGAGAGGAUGAUCAGCGACACGGGAACUGAGACACGGUCAAGACUCCUACGGGAGGCAGCAGUGGGGAAUAUUGGACAAUGGGCGCAAGCCUGAUCCAGCGAUACCGCGUGGGUGACGAAGGCCUUCGGGUUGUAAAGCCCUUUUGUUGGGAAAGAAAAGCAGCAGGUUAAUACCCAGCUGUUCUGACGGUACCCAAAGAAUAAGCACCGGCUAACUUCGUG
RNAcentral lists this ribosomal RNA (492 nucleotides) under uncultured bacterium. Its description in RNAcentral is "partial 16S ribosomal RNA". It matches the Rfam family "Bacterial small subunit ribosomal RNA", at positions 29 to 507 of the family's 1533-position model. The record is from RNAcentral.